CAACAAAUGCCAGCAGUACAAAUUCAUUAGUAUAUUAAAAGGAUAAGCCUCUAUGACCAAGUAGGAUUUCUCUUAGGAAUGCAAGGACAAUUCAACAUAUGAAAAUUAGUCAACAUCAAUGGAAUGUACUACAGCAACACAAUAAAGGAAAAAUUAACACAUGAUCAUCUCAUCUGAUGCAGAAAAAAACAUUUAACAGAAUUCAAAACCUUUCGUAAUAAAAACACUCAACAAACUAGGAAUUGGAAGAAGAAAAAAAUCUACCUCAACAUAAUCAAAGCCAUCAUGAAAAAUCAAAAGUGAACAUGACACCAAAUGAUUAAAGAUGGAAAGCUUUUUCUGUAAGGUCAGGAACAAGGAAAGUUUAUGUGCUUUUGCCAUUCUUUUCAACAUAGGAAAUUGUAGCCAGAGCAGUUAGGCAAGAAAGAAAUAAAUGGCAUCCAAUUUGUAAACGAAAAAGUUAAAUCAUCUCAGUUCACAAAUGGUGUGCUCUUACAUAUAAAAACCCUAAAGAUUUCACAAAUUCAGGAAAGUAGAAGGAUACAAAGUCAAUACACAAAUGUACAUUAUUUCUGUUCACUAGUAAUGAAUAAUCCCAAAGAAAAUUGAGAAAACAAUUCUACUUAACAAUUGCACCAAAAUAAAAUACUUAGGGAUUAACCAAGAAGGUUAAAUGCUUGUACAAUGAAAGCUACAAAACACCGAAAUGAAGUACAGACAUAAAUGGAAAAACAUCUUGACUUAAUUUUGUUGACCCCCCAAAAAAACAUUCUACAGAUUUAAUGCAAUUAUUAUAAAAUAUAAGAGAGGACUCCUAAAAUUCAGCAAAAAAACCAAAAAACAAAGAAUUGAAUUCAAAGAUGGCCAAAAUACUUGAAUAGACAUUUCUCCAAAGAUGUAUGUAUAGCCAAUACACAUAUUAAAAGAUAUUCAACAUCACUAAUCAUUAUGGAAAUAUAAAUCAAAACUAUGAUAAUAUACCACCUCACACAUUUAGAUGGCUUAUUUAAACAAAAUGACAAAUAUCACCAAGUAUAUGGAUAAAUUCAACUUUUCUCACUUGAACUUUUCUAAUUUGAACUGUUCUGAUUUGAACUAAAUUAGAACUUUUCUGCACUAUGAUGGGAAUGUAAAAUGGCACAGCCAAUGAGAAGAAUAGAAUGGCAACUCCUCAAUAAAUUAAAAAUAGAAUUACCAUAUUAUCCAGCAAGUACACUUCUGGGUUUGCACCUCAAAGAACUGAAAGCAAGAUAUUGAAGAGGUGCUUGUACACUUAUGUUCAUAGUAACAUUAUUCACAAUAGCCAAAAUGUGAAAGCAACCUAGGUAUAUAUUCACAGAUAACUCCAAAAACAAAAGGUGGUAUAUAGAUACAAUGGAAAAUUAUUCAGACUUAGGAAAAUCUGACAAAUGCUACAACAUGGGUGAAACUUGAAGACAUCAUGCUAAGCUAGCCACAAAUACUGUAUGAUUCCACUUAUAUAAGCUCACAGCAACUUCCAGAUCCUUAAUCCACUGAGCAAGGCCAGGGAUCGAACCAAUAUCCUCGUGGAUACUAGUCGGGUUCGUUAACCACUGAACCAUGACAGGAACUCCUCUAUCUAGAUUUUGAAGUCUGAAAAGCAAGUGAGGUCUAUAAGCAUUGGAAAUGUUUGAGUCUCAAGAGUAAUUUUUUUUUUUUUUUUCUGGUGAAUUCACUCAUCAAAUAGUAGCUACAUAAAAUCAGUCAUGGCUCUGGAUAAGAUAUAAUAUAGAAUUGCAGUGCUAAAGAACAGAAGAAAUAGAUGAUCAAUACACUUUGAAAUGCUUCCUUUAGAAACACUGAUUUUUUUUAAUCCUAGCCAGAAAAAUAUAUAUGUAUAUAAAUCUGAAUUCCCCAGUUUGGAAAGUUCCACAGUAGCCAGGUUUCCAAAUUUUCAUUUCUUUCUGUUUAGUUCUUUAUUGUACCAGUCAAGUGUUGUCAAAUACCAGGGAUUAACUUUUGGAAAAAAAAAUUAGAAACAAAGGGAAAAUUUUUAAUUUUCCAUCCUUGAUAAUUAAAAUUUUAUAAUUUUAAACUAUAAUAAAUAGUUUAAUGAUAGCUGUACUUUAAAAAAAAGGGGGCAGAGACAAAAUUAGUAGCCCCUUGCAUUCUCAGUCUAUGGCUGAAAAUUUUUAGUCAGAAGUCAAAGUCAGAUAUUUGAUCCAACAUUUUUAGAGAUGCUGAAUUCUUUAGAGAAUCCCAAAAGUGUACCAGUUUUACAUUUAUAGGCAUUGAAGAUAUUAGAGUCAUGGGAGUAUGAUCCAUUGUGAGUCUGGAAAUGUAAAUUCAGGAAUCUCUGCUUUCAAAGAUAAUUGCUAGAUUCUGAAGACCUGAUAUGAUCUUGUCCAAUGAAGUUCAAGAGCAUUCUUACAUUGUUUCUGAGGUUUUCCUUUGGUAAAGCUGCCUAGUCCUGCUGAUCAUAAAUUGCUAUAUAUUGAUCAUAAAAUAAACCUUUAAAAUAUGAUAGUCAGUUACUGGACAUGUAAUUGUUAGUCUCACUGGGUAAGAGUUAAGAAAAUGAUGACCUAUGGUUUCUAGUCAGUGAAUUUUUAAUAGUCAAGGAAAUUAAGGAUGACAUUUUAGGUCAUGGCAGUUAAUCCUUCAAAUAAUUUUCCAAGCUUUAUUUGUUCUUUUAUCUUUGACUACUGCUAGAGGAUGAUAAAGACAAUGGAGUUUCUGGAUGAUGAGAGAUACCAUGUACAGCUCUUGUAAAAUAGGCACCUCUAUCUCUGACAAAAAGUUUGGUAAUGCACCAAGUUGAAAAUACAAAGUCUAGGAGGCUGGUCGUUGCUUGUUUUUGUUUUGUUUUGUUUUCUUUUUUUUGGUUUGCUAGUUGUUAGUGUAGUUGCCAUUUGGCAAAUAAAAUCUAUGGCCAUCUAGAAAAUACAUGAGUAGAAAUAUAUUCAUUUGAAGGAGACAAUUGCAAAACUCCAUUUGUAAAUUUCAAAAUAAACCUUGAGGAUUUAGUUCUUGCUCAUUCUUAUCUUUUGCAGGUUGUACCUGAAUCAUACUAAGCAGUUUUGAGUAAAAUUUUCCUGGCUCUAUGAUUAUGAUAUGCCAACCAAUUUAUCUUUGCUGCAGUGGUCAAACUGAAUAGUUAUGUUAAUAAACUACAUUAUUAAGUAUUUUAAUAAAUUCUUAUAAUAAAGUUUACUCUGGGAGUGAGAAUAUUAUAAAUUGUAUAGACAUAGACAAGCCCCUAUAGAAAUUUGAUUUACAUUAAAAAUCAAACCUAUCACCAUGAUUGUACCUAUAGUCAUGUAUACUGAAUUUUAGACAAAAAAAAUCAUUUUGAUAUAGUUAUUAUGCAUGUCUUUAUGCUUAUAAAUGAGUCUAUUUUAAUCUGAGGACUUCAUCAUAUUUUGGAGGGGGAACACAAUUCAACCCAUAAGAGUCCGCUCUAUACCUUUCCCAAAAGUUAUGUCUUUCCCAUGUGCAAAAUACAUUUACUCCAUUAUGACAUCCUCAAAAGUUUUAACCCAUUUCAAUUUAACUCAACAUACAAAAAUUUCAUCUAAAUAUAAUCAACUCAAACUCAUCUAAAUCAGAUAUGGGUGAGACACUGGGUAUGGUCCAUCUGGAUACAAAAUUUCUCGUCAUUUAUGAACUUGUGAUAUUAGAAAACAAGUUAUAUGCUUAUAAAAUACAACAUUGGCAUACUCAUUGGAUAGAUAUUUUCAUUCCAAAAGAUAGAAAUAAGAAGAAAAGGAUACUCAGAUUCCAAGCAAGUCUUAAAACCAGCAGGACUCAUUGCAAGGCUUGGGAAGAAUCCUACGUGGCUCAGUUCUCUGUCCUAUAGGCUCUUGGCCCACGAUGGUGUCAGUCUUACCCUCUUUGCCCCAGGAAGUACUAUCAGCACUGCCUCCUUCAUCAGUGGUUCUGCCCUCAGGGUUUUUGUUUGUUUGUUUGUUUGUUUUGUCUUUUUAGGGCUGCACCUGCCCUGGAAGUUCCUAGGCUAGGGGUCGAAUUGGAGCUAUAGCUGCUGGCUUGUGGGCUUGCGCAGUAGCCACAGCAACACCAGAUCCUUAAUCGACUGAGCAAGGCCAGAGAAUGAACCUGCAUUCUGAUGGAUACUAGUUAGAUUCGUCAUCACUAAGCCACACGAGAACUCCCCUCAAAAUCAUUCUUUAUUCUUUUCAUCCCAUCCCUGUGCUUAUCAGGCCAGUCUGGCAGUAUUUCUUCUGGCACAGUUCUCAAUUACCUUGUCAGUCUCCUGUGCAAUUCUUAAGAGUUCAGAUCAUCAAACAGGAAAGUUCUUCAUAUAUCUUUCUGAUUAAUGACAUCUAUAUUCCUUAAUCCUCUGUGAGAGUUGAUUUGAUCCACAAGUCAUAUAAUCUGUCUCAUUAGCAAUGAUUGUCCAGCCACAUUCUUAGGCCUAUGUCCAGAGCAUCCUAUCUGGACAGGAUGUGAAUUUUCCAACUAUCAAGUGCUUGCUUCUUUUUUUAUGAGUAGCAAUUCAUUUCUCAACUUGUUUCUUAUCUCUUGCAAUUUUACCGUAAACAGCAAGGAGAAUCCAGGUGGUACAGAACACAAUUUUCAGGCAAGCAUCCUUGGCUAAAUAUCCAAGAUCAUCAACUAUAAGUUUUACUUUCCACAAAAUAAUGGAGCAUAAUUCAGCCAAGUUCUUUGCCACUUGGUUCUAAGAAUCACCUUUCCUCCAGUUUCCAAAAACAUAGUCCUUAUUUCCAUCUGAGACAUCACCAGAAGUACCCUUACUGUCCAUAUCUCUAGUAGCACUCCAUUCGUGACAAUGUAUGUGCUUGUCUAAUAAAUGGAAACUUUGUAUGCAUUGCUCCUUACUUCUUUCUGAUUCCUCCUCAGAAUUUUCUUUGAUGGCCACAUUUCUAUCAACAAUUUCUUCAAGGAAAUCUGGCUCUUACUAUUAAAACCUGAACAACUACAUACAAUUAAUUUAUAUAAAUUUCAAAUACAGAGAAAACCAAAAUAUGUAUUAAUCUGUUAGAAAUCAUAAUAGUUGAUGGCGUUCCCAUCGUGGCACAGUGGGAACAAAUCCGACUAGGAACCACGACGUUGCGGGUUUGAUCCCUGGCCUUGUUCAGUGAGUUAAGUAUCUGACCUUGCUUUGAGCUGUAGUGUAGGUCGCAGACAUGGCUCGGAUCCCGAGUUGCUGUGGCUCUGUUGUAGGCCGGCAGCUACAUCUCCUAUUAGACUUCUUGCCUGGGAACCUCCAUAUGCUGCAGGUGCAGCCCUAAAAAGACAAAAGACAAAAAAAAAAAAAAAG
RNAcentral lists this long non-coding RNA (5263 nucleotides) under Sus scrofa (pig). Its description in RNAcentral is "lncRNA (ENSSSCG00050027183.1)". Lineage: Eukaryota; Metazoa; Chordata; Mammalia; Artiodactyla; Suidae. The record is from RNAcentral.